RNAcentral lists this long non-coding RNA (846 nucleotides) under Homo sapiens (human). Lineage: Eukaryota; Metazoa; Chordata; Mammalia; Primates; Hominidae. The record is from RNAcentral.
GAGACCCAAGCGCCCUGGGCGAAGCCACCGCGGGGAGGACCUGCGCUCGCGGGGGCUGCUGCGCUCUGCGCUGGGGCCUCUCGGGCUGGGAAUGCGUGGCCCGGCUUUUGAGGAUUUCCUCGGUCCCCGGGCGGAAAUAGCUGGAAUGGAGGGGCCUCUCGAUUGGAGACUUACUGGUCAAAUAUUUACUUUUGUUGAUCACUGGAAACGCUACCUACCACGCAUUGACUAGGACCACAAAAACCACGACUUCCUGGAAAAGUCUUCACCGUAAAUAUUAAUCUCUUUGGCAUGAAGAGGAAAACACUGCAGCUAAUUUUUCAUGGGAUAACAAAAAUAUAAACUGCAAUUUCUUUUAUUUUUUCCCUUUCGAUGGUCUUUUUAAACGAGGAGUAAAGAUUUCAACGCCAGGUCCAUUUUCCAAAUUUUGUACCAGAACCUUGAGGAUGCUUGUCUCUCGCGCGCUUCUCCGCAGACCGAACCCUCUCCGGAACUCAGAGCUGUUCACCCAAGUCAGCGGAGGAGGCCUCCUGGGACUUGAGCCUGAGGGUGGCGAAGAACCCUAGGCAGAGAUCAUCAACUUGGUACCGAUGAGUGACGCGGAGCUUGAACAUUCCAGCGACUUGCUCCAGGGCCACUCCCAGUUAAGAGGCUGAGUGUUAACUGCAAGAGGCUGAGUGUUAACUACGCCGUUGGCUCCAGGAACCGAACCGGGUUUGGAUACAGACCCAGUCACACCAUCCAUGAAAAGCUGUUUCUAUAAUAUGAAAAAUUGUUAAAUGACGCUUUAGUAAAAGCCAUUUAAAGAUCUUUUCUAAUAAAUUUUUCAUCUUUCCAAACAAUGCC